CCUACGGGAGGCAGCAGUCGAGAAUCAUUCACAAUGGGGGAAACCCUGAUGGUGCGACGCCGCGUGGGGGAAUGAAGGUCUUCGGAUUGUAAACCCCUGUCAUGUGGGAGAAAAUUAAAAAGAUAGUACCCCAAGAGGAAGAGACGGCUAACUCUGUGCCAGCAGCCGCGGUAAUACAGAGGUCUCACGCGUUGUUCGGAAUCACUGGGCGUAAAGCGUGCGUAGGCUGUUUCGUCAGUCGCGUGUGAAAGGCGCGGGCUCAACCCGCGGACGGCACAUGAUCCUGCGAGACUAGAGUAAUGGAGGGGGGACCGGAAUUCUCGGUGUAGCAGUGAAAUGCGUAGAUAUCGAGAGGAACACUCGUGGCGAAGGCGGGUUCCUGGACAUUAACUGACGCUGAGGCGCGAAGGCCAGGGGAGCGAAAGGGAUUAGAUACCCUUGUAGUC
This 446-nucleotide ribosomal RNA is filed under the name uncultured bacterium. RNAcentral's name for it is "partial 16S ribosomal RNA". It matches the Rfam family "Bacterial small subunit ribosomal RNA", at positions 338 to 795 of the family's 1533-position model. The record is from RNAcentral.